This is a long non-coding RNA of Mugil cephalus (flathead mullet), 2031 nucleotides long. RefSeq lists it as uncharacterized. The transcript is spliced from 4 exons. Lineage: Eukaryota; Metazoa; Chordata; Actinopteri; Mugiliformes; Mugilidae. The record is from RefSeq and is a predicted model, not a curated record.
CUGGGACGGGGAGAAGGCCGUCCGGAUGCGCUUCGGCUUCCUGGCGAAGGGACCGUGGAGGAGCAGGCUGUCCUGGGACACAUCGUUACCUGAGAGCAGAGACACGACAAGGGCGGUCAGAUGUGGCUGCGAAACGAAGUCCGGCGCUGUCGGGUCAGCACUGAUCAGUGGAGUCGUCAGAAACGUCAAUGUCCACGUCCGAGUCCGAAAACUCCUCCUCGUCCUCGUCGCCUUCGUCCCCGUGGCCCUGGGAUCCGGGGCUUUUCGGCGGAGCGGCCAGGCCCAGUUUAGCGAGCUUGGCCUGCUGCUGCUCCAGACUCUGUUUGCGCCACUUGAUGCGUCGAUUCUGAAACCAGACUUUGACCUGCAAAACGAGGAGAAGACGCACGUUAGAGGAGAGGUGAUGUGGAGAUAUUUAAAGGUCUAAAUGUGCGCGGUGGUGACUCUUCCCCCCUCCUCACUAAUCAUUUCUUACCUGAGCUUCUGUCAGUUGCAGAGCGGAGGCCAGGAGGAACCUCUCUGAUCCGACCAUGUACUGCUGCCGUGCGAACUCCUUCUCCAGCCGGGACAGCUGCUCGCUGGUGAAGCUGGUGCGCAUCCUCUUCGACUUCCCACCUUUAGUUUUGAACGAGUGCAGCCCCGCGUUGACUUUGGACAUUGAAGCUGCAAAGAAGAGGAAGAGGGAGGAGUGUCAAAGAUUAAAGUCAUGAUUUGCAAACAGUGGACCCCACAAACGUUUCCCCCCUCGUCUCAGAACUGUCAGGACGGAGGUAAGAGCUGCAGAAACCUCGGCGCUCAGCUCGGUCUCACCUUGCAGCUCCGUUCACACGUGAUUGAACGAGACAAAAGCUCUGGAGAAACACCGUCAUCAUUAUUAUUACUGAGGUGAAAGGGGAUCUUUUUCUCGCCUGCCCGACACAUUUAACAGCCACUGUAGCCUCGGCCUUUCCUGUCCACGCACAUCCAUCACUAAUGAGUUUAUGAAGCCAUUCACAGGACGAUCCGGAACGACCUGCCUCUGUGGCCGCGCUGCUGGAGCUGAGGGCUCAUUACUGGGACCUGCUGGGCCUCGGCUUCACCUUGACUAUGAAUGAGAGGCAGGUUUACAGUCGUCCCACCGUGGUUGUAACCCUUUGUGUCCGUCCAUGUAACUCCGAGCCGAGCCACAAGACAAUCAGAGCCUCUAACAGCAGAUCAAAGCGUCCGUCUCCCUGGAGAAAGUCCCAACAAAGGCGGACAUGCCGAGUCCGUGGGCCGUGAUGGACUCGGAGCAAUAAUUAGGAGCAGACAGCCCACGUUAAAGCCACAUUACCCCUCACUUUCCUGUCCUUUAACCGGAGCAAAGAUCCAGGACCACGGCGGCUAAUUUAGUGUUUUUAACGAGAGCAGAGAGGACACUUCAAACAGGACCACACACAGACCCACGGGUGGGACACAUCUGCUGAACAUCUGGUGACACCUGCUGGACAAACAGAGUAAAAGGCUUUAAGGAGAGAAGAAGAAGAAACAUCUGUGAAACAUCUAAUUAAUGAAGCUGGAAAUCCAAACAUAGUAUAAAACUAUUUAGUUUUGCAAUAACUAAAUUUGUGCUUGAAGAUAAUUUGAGGCCAGACUUACUGUAUACUGAUCAGCCACAACAUUAUGACCACUGACAGGAGAAGUAAAUAACAUCUUGUAACAGUUCAUUGUUCUGUUUGGAAACUUUUGGACCUGGGAUUCAUUCAUGCAGAUGUUACUUAGACAUGUAGCCCCCAUCUAGACCAGACCAGACCAGACCAGACCAGACCAGACCUGAUGGUCAAACUACAGGUUCCUACAGCGACACAUAACACAGUAAAACACACUGAGCUUCUGUGAUCACUGCUCCUCCUUGUGGCUGGAUGAAUCAUUAAAGCUCUUGUGGUGCAACGUGGUAACGUUUGCUUUAAGGCCUGUUUUUGUUUUAUUUUGAUAUUUUGAUUUGUAUAAUAUUGCAUCUCUCCAAAUUCAACCAUAUUGAACAAAUAAAUAAAAAAAUUUAAAUUGAAAUAA